Oncorhynchus tshawytscha (Chinook salmon) is the source of this 677-nucleotide long non-coding RNA. RefSeq lists it as uncharacterized. NCBI's taxonomy places the organism in Eukaryota, Metazoa, Chordata, Actinopteri, Salmoniformes, Salmonidae. The record is from RefSeq and is a predicted model, not a curated record. The transcript is spliced from 3 exons.
CAUGCUCUUGCUUCUAGAUAGGUUUGAUGAUUGGGUGGAGAGCAACAGCAGGGCCAAACAGGCCACACCAGUCCCACCAGGAAUUAAGGACUCGUCUGAAGAACUCAAUCCAUAUUAUUAGUGUGGUUCGCUGGCUUCUGAAAAAUUUCCACGAUUUUGUGAAAUCUGCCCAUCUGUGAAACGAGUUUGAAAUACAGACGACCUGGAACAUGCCCAGAAUGUUCAUGUGACAGUGUGUCGUGAAGAAUCAGGAUGGACAUUACUAUGAAAAGUGUGCAAGCGCCAGACAGAAGAGACUGAGCGAAAUAAACGUUGUUCACAAGAUCCCUCAGACUCCAGGAUGGGAAAUGCUUAACAAGAAAUAAAAAGAUGGAGACACAGAAGGAGACCAUGAGACUCUCUGUUUUAUUUUAAAUAGUUAAUCUGUUGACAUUUUAUAUUCUGACUUGUAACGUUAAUGUUAAAAAUAGGUAGAAAAAGACACCCCCUGUUUAUUUAAAUUAGCUAGGCUACUCACUAUACCAAUGGUAGGCCACAGAUUUGAGUCACUGCUGUUAAAAUUGUUUUCCCAAUGUAUCUUUCUAUUACAUUACAUUUUGUUCUUACGAUGUAUUACAUGUUUGAGGAGAGUGUGUGCUAUAAAUGUUUGCAACUCGUUAAUAAAUAGGCAGAAUGUU